This 395-nucleotide ribosomal RNA is filed under the name uncultured bacterium. RNAcentral's name for it is "bacterial SSU rRNA". It matches the Rfam family "Bacterial small subunit ribosomal RNA", at positions 28 to 408 of the family's 1533-position model. The record is from RNAcentral.
GAUGAACGCUGGCGGCGUGCCUAACACAUGCAAGUCGGGCGAGAAACCAUCGAUUGAAACUUCGGUAGAUAUUGAAGGCGGAAAGCGGCGGACGGGUGAGUAACGCGUAGGCAACCUGCCCCUUUGCAGAGGGAUAGCAACGGGAAACUGUUAUUAAACCUCAUAAUACCGUAAUGUCAAAUGAUGAAACGGUCAAGAUUUAUCGGCAAAGGAUGGGCCUGCGUCUGAUUAGUUAGUUGGUAGGGUAACGGCCUACCAAGGCAGCGAUCAGUAGCCGACCUGAGAGGGUGAUCGGCCACAUUGGAACUGAGACACGGUCCAAACUCCUACGGGAGGCAGCAGUGGGAAUAUUGCACAAUGGGCGAAAGCCUGAUGCAGCAACGCCGCGUGAAGGA